Molecule: ribosomal RNA, 253 nt
Filed under: uncultured bacterium
Lineage: Bacteria
Description: partial 16S ribosomal RNA
Rfam family: Bacterial small subunit ribosomal RNA
Source: RNAcentral
UACGUAGGGUGCGAGCGUUAAUCGGAAUUACUGGGCGUAAAGCGUGCGCAGGCGGUUCGUUGUGUCUGCUGUGAAAUCCCCGGGCUCAACCUGGGAAUGGCAGUGGAAACUGGCGAGCUUGAGUGUGGCAGAGGGGGGUGGAAUUCCGCGUGUAGCGGUGAAAUGCGUAGAUAUUCGGAGGAACACCAGUGGCGAAAGCGACUUUCUGGGACGUUCCUGACGCUGAGGUUCGAAAGCUCGGGGAGCAAACAGG